CAUAAAUGUUUCAAAGAUCGUCAUACUGAUUUACAACCACCUUCUGUAAAGUCUAACAUAAUUUGAUGACAUAAAAAUAUCGCAAAAUGGAACUUAUGACGCAUCAAUUUAAAGCUUCAAGUAUCACGAAAAUGACUACAUAAACGCCUCAUGAAUAUUCUUACUACAAAAUGGUGUGUCGCCAUUUACAGUAAACAACGAUCGAUUUGGAAAGAUACAAAUUCUUACGCUAUUUGAUGACAUAUAAAAGUGUUACAAGUGUAUACUUUCACCUUUUUCUCAUCUAAAAGGAUCUUUUAAAUUUUCUAAGUAUCGUCCAUUCAGCUGCACUCUUUGUAUGACUCGUCUAUCGGAAUGGCGCCGAUUAGGAAAUCGUUGUUUGUAAAGUAAAGGCCGCAGAAGCACCCAAGAAACGUGUCUGUGUACUCACGAUUACGGUAACGCGUCAACGUGAUAGCUACACAGAUACCGACAGUUCAAACAUCUAGUCAGACGUAGUAGAAGCGAUAAGGGACAAACUAUGACAUUGUUGCAAGUCACGAUAUUGUUCGCAGCUACAGAACAGAGAAGCUGUGACUGGUGAAAUCUUCUCAACAGACUAUAAAAUAGGUAGCAGACUGUUGAAAUAUUGUUUUUAAUACGCGGAGUGUCUUAUGUAAUUGGGUCAAAUUGUAGUUCACAAAUGGUAGAUCACUGCACGUGACUGUACAGUUGGAAGUAACGUAAGCUUUCUUUGGGUGAGAGGAAGCCUCAUGGGCAUCAAAGUGGGGUAUGGGGUGGAAAGAUGCAUACUGUCUCGGGUUACGUGGAACGAAUAGCGUUCGCAGCUACAUCAGGCCUUCAAACCGGAAAUCCAAAGAAGCGAAUGAAACGACGACAACGAUGCCGUUCUUCAACGAAUUCAUUCUGACACACGUAAACCGUUCCCUUCCGCAACCAGGCGAUACCAAUGAAAAAUUAUCACACAGGAUGUUUUAUUUUUUUCUGCGCUACAAGCCUGUAUCAAAAAUAAAACAUCUCUUACAGAAUUCGUCUACAACUAAUUUAUUAACAUAAAAGUAUCACAAUAUAAUACUUAUGAUACAUCAAUUUGAAGCUUAGAAUUUCAUAAAAAUUACUAUAUAAACAUUUUAUGAAUAUUCUGAAUACAAAAUGGCUGAUUGCCAAUUGUAUCAAACAAUGACCAAUUUUGAAGGAUAUAAAAUAUGGUGGAAUUUCAUGACAGAAAAGUAUCGCUAAGUAAUAUUUACUUUAUACAGUCAUUUUCAAGAGAUUAUAAGCUUCAAAUUGAUAUAUCAUAAGUGCUAUUUUGUAAUAAUUUUAUGUCAUGAAAUUGUCAUUAGUCGAGUAGGUUAACAUUUUUAUAGUAGACUCUUAAUAUUAUACCAUAACUAUCAUUUCUUUUCUUCGAUGCUUUAAGUAUUGAAGAAUUGAGAUAAUUAAAAAAGAAAUCAAUAAAAGCGGAAUUUAUUUCUGCUGUUAUUGAUAGAAGUCGACCGCAGCCGUAACAAUGAAAACACGAUCAAUUAGCAAAGUUCGAUCGUCCCGUUAAUAAUAGGACCGUUCAUUGUCGAAGUCAUUCAACUUGUAAUUAUUCCAGUCUAAUAAUUGCGACGACAAGCGUGGAAUCACUGCGCUAGAAUUAGCAUGGAAGUGAUAAGAAGGGAAGAAAAAUGUCGAACGAUGAGUAGCAGUGACACACGAAGGCUGUGCUCUCUAGAUAAAGCUCGAUUUCAAGAAAUGAAACGUAACUCGUACGACAAACCAUCAAUUACGAGCCAUGAAUAGACCGUUGAAAUGCAACUUGUACAUUGAACGACAGUGGCCAUCGGUCAGGCCUUGCAAUUUGUUAAUCGUACGCGUUAGGUGUGUCAAAGGUUGAUUCAACUUUCCUUCAAUUCAUCGCAUUCGUUAUGCAGUAAAACUUUGAUAAAUCGUCACUCAAGGGACCGAGAAAUAUUGACGACUUAAACGGAGUAAAAACCAUGUAAAUUUUUAAAUGACGACUCAUCCGGAGUGACGACUUACGGAGGUUUUAAUGUAUUUUUUCCUUCGAUUAAUUUGUCGAACGUUUUUAUUGCGAAAUGCUGGGAAAAUCCUGUUACUUUCGUAGAAUCCAACAAGGAAAACAAUUGAUAAUCUGUAAAUUCUUAGAGUUUGGAAUCAUUGAACCCCAUUCCUUACGGUCAUCUCUGCUUGGAACUGUACUUGUAUAUUUAAUAAAUUAAAAUUAUAUAAUUUUAUUUGCAAUCAUUUUUAAUUUCACGCAUCCUUGAAUAAUAAAAUUAUUCAUUCAGAAAAUAUUUCACAACCUGCACGGGUUUUGUGUUCCUUCGGAUGGAAACGGAAAGAGAGAAUGUUAAACAAUUCUUUUAGCAUGAUAAUAAAACCUAACUCUAGGGUAAUCAAUUCAUUUCCAUUUACGAAUAUGAGUUCCGUGAAACGUUUAAACGUUUCAAGGAAAAAUGGAAUGUUUUUAUCUUCCUAAUAUUUCGAUCUUCCAAGAAUCUUAAUGAUGACAUUAAAACGAAACGUAUCGACAGAAUUUAUUCCCGCAAACAGAAUAUCCACUUCCAUAUGCAUCUCGAUAACGGAUAUUUCUACAUAUGUUUAUUAAAUUAAUUUAGGUAUAUCAUUUACAUUUAUAUCGCGUUAAACAUUUUUCAGUGUUAAUAAAAAAAAAAAAAA
Molecule: non-coding RNA, 2688 nt
Organism: Osmia lignaria (orchard mason bee)
Lineage: Eukaryota; Metazoa; Arthropoda; Insecta; Hymenoptera; Megachilidae
Source: RefSeq, a predicted model, not a curated record